Molecule: ribosomal RNA, 253 nt
Filed under: uncultured bacterium
Lineage: Bacteria
Description: partial 16S ribosomal RNA
Rfam family: Bacterial small subunit ribosomal RNA
Source: RNAcentral
UACAGAGGUCUCAAGCGUUGUUCGGAUUCAUUGGGCGUAAAGGGUGUGUAGGUGGCGCGCUAAGUCGGGUGUGAAAUUUCGGAGCUUAACUCCGAAACUGCAUUCGAUACUGGCGUGCUUGAGGACUGGAGAGGAGACUGGAAUUCAUGGUGUAGCAGUGAAAUGCGUAGAGAUCAUGAGGAAGACCAGUGGCGAAGGCGGGUCUCUGGACAGUUCAUGACACUGAGACACGAAGGCCAGGGGAGCAAACGGG